AUGAACGCUAGCGGCAGGCUUAACACAUGCAAGUCGAGGGGCAGCAUACCCAGCAAUGGGUGAUGGCGACCGGCGGAAGGGUGCGUAACGCGUGAGCAACAUACCCUAUACAGGGGGAUAAGCCAGGGAAACUUGGUCUAAUAUCCCAUAGGAAAUAGAUAAGGCAUCUUGUUUAUUUUAAAGCUUCGGUGGUAUAGGAUUGGCUCGCGUGACAUUAGCUAGAUGGAGGGGUAACGGCCCACCAUGGCAAUGAUGUCUAGGGGUUCUGAGAGGAAGAUCCCCCACACUGGGACUGAGACACGGCCCAGACUCCUACGGGAGGCAGCAGUGAGGAAUAUUGGACAAUGGAUGGAAAUCUGAUCCAGCCAUGCCGCGUGCAGGAAGACGGCCCUAUGGGUUGUAAACUGCUUUUAUACGGGAGCAAUAAGGUCUAUGCAUAGAUUGAUGAGAGUACCGUAUGAAUAAGCAUCGGCUAACUCCGUGCCAGCAGCCGCGGUAAUACGGAGGAUGCGAGCGUUAUCCGGAUUUAUUGGGUUUAAAGGGUGCGUAGGCGGCUUUGUAAGUCAGCGGUGAAAUUUUGCAGCUUAACUGUAAAAGCGCCGUUGAUACUGUGAAGCUAGGAUUUGGUUGCUGUGGGCGGAAUGUGUGGUGUAGCGGUGAAAUGCAUAGAGAUCACACAGAAUAUCGAUUGCGAAGGCAGCUCACAAAGCCAAUAUUGACGCUGAGGCACGAAAGUGUGGGGAUCAAACAGGAUUAGAUACCCUGGUAGUCCACACUGUAAACGAUGAUACUCGCUGUCGGCGAUAGACCGUCGGUGGUCAAGCGAAAGCGAUAGUAUCCACUUGGGGAGUACGACCGCAAGGUUG
This 866-nucleotide ribosomal RNA is filed under the name uncultured anaerobic bacterium. Its description in RNAcentral is "bacterial SSU rRNA". It matches the Rfam family "Bacterial small subunit ribosomal RNA", at positions 29 to 896 of the family's 1533-position model. The record is from RNAcentral.